RNAcentral lists this unclassified non-coding RNA (227 nucleotides) under plant metagenome. RNAcentral describes it as "partial contains small subunit ribosomal RNA, internal transcribed spacer 1, and 5.8S ribosomal RNA". The record is from RNAcentral.
GGAAGUAAAAACAAGGUUUCCGUAGGUGAACCUGCGGAAGGAUCAUUCAUAAUAAAGUGUUUUAUGGCACUUUUUAAAAAUCCAUAUCCACCUUGUGUGCAAUGUUAGAUCUCGUCAAUCUUGGCGAGAUUUUUAUACAUCAGCUCAUUCUUUAACUAAUUUGUCCGAAAAAUAUUAUGAAUACUUAAUUCAAAAUACAACUUUCAACAACGGAUCUCUUGGCUCUC